GGGGGUGUAGUUCAGUGGUACAACUCUUGCCUAGCAAUACAAGUUCCUGGGUUCAAUCCCCAGCACCCCCC
Molecule: non-coding RNA, 71 nt
Organism: Ictidomys tridecemlineatus (thirteen-lined ground squirrel)
Lineage: Eukaryota; Metazoa; Chordata; Mammalia; Rodentia; Sciuridae
Source: Rfam